Long non-coding RNA from Hemicordylus capensis (graceful crag lizard), 1114 nucleotides. RefSeq lists it as uncharacterized. The record is from RefSeq and is a predicted model, not a curated record. The transcript has 5 exons. NCBI's taxonomy places the organism in Eukaryota, Metazoa, Chordata, Lepidosauria, Squamata, Cordylidae.
GCAGUGAUGGAGUGACUCUUUUAGCCAAGAGACUUGCUGGUACCAUAAGAGGCAAUGGCAAUGGUGGACAGGGAUCAGUGGAUGCUCCUGAGAGCUAGGGUCCUCAGAAGCUGACCAGGAAUGAUGACCCCUGAUGCCAGACCAGGCAAUAGCACUUCCUGGCAGUCACUUUAGGAAGGUGAGGAGCUGCUGCUGCUCCCUCUGUAUACCAUCACCCACUCCAUUUGCUGAGACAGGGGAGGGCCACAAGAAUUCGCCCACCCCUGCUGCAGCCUCCUCCUUCUCAGACAUCAAGUCCUUCCCAAGUACCUGGGAUGAAUGAGUUUUGUUCCAGAUGGAAGAAUCAAGACGGAGUGAGACCUUCCUGCUUCAACCUGAGCGGGAUCUAAAAUUGACUGAGCAGACAUCAAAAAAACAUGUGUGUGCACGUACAUGUGCAUGCCCUAGAGGGAACACUGGUUCCUCCAUUCAUCAUCUCAGGUCCUGCUCAUGGCCCCGCCACUAAAAGAAAUCCAGUUGGUGGGGACUAGAGGCAGGGCCUUUUCAGUUGUGGCCCCUUGGCUUUGGAAUGCCUGCCCUGAAGAAUUUUGCCAUGCUCCCUCCCUCAGUGUUUUUUAAAAAACAACUAAAAACACAUCUUUUUAAAGAGGCUUUUUAUGCUCCAUCUUUGGUUAUAUCUGGUAGGUUCUUUGGUGUUUAGUUUUUAUUAUUCUCAAUUUUUUAGCUUUUAAAAUAACUUUUAAUUUGAAACUCAAUAGUGAUUGUGGUUUUUAACCUGACUUUUAACUUGUUUACUUAAUUUGGUUAAUUUAUUACUUUUAUUGUAUAUUAUAUCUAUUUUAUUGUUGUGAGCCACCCUGAGCAGUAGUGCACUGGAGGGGUGCCGUAUAAAAAUUUUAAAUAAUAUAAAAAUGUACCAUUAAUUGAUUUACUCAGAACUGAUGAUUAAUAAUCAGAAUUGAUUUCUUGAUUUACUCAGAACUGAUGCCAUGUGGCAUAGAAUGCCUAGUUUUUGGUUUUAGUAGUGAAAUCUUCAUAUGUAAUGAUUCAAACAUUUUGUAAUUUUGAAUGUGUAUUAGAUAUUUUGAAAAAUACAAAAUAAAACAAUUAAGAG